RNAcentral lists this transfer RNA (65 nucleotides) under Cavia porcellus (domestic guinea pig). It matches the Rfam family "tRNA", at positions 1 to 62 of the family's 71-position model. Rfam says of the family: Transfer RNA (tRNA) molecules are approximately 80 nucleotides in length. The record is from Rfam by way of RNAcentral. Lineage: Eukaryota; Metazoa; Chordata; Mammalia; Rodentia; Caviidae.
GGGGAUUUAGCUUAGCGGCAUAAAGCACCUGCCUUGUGAGCAGGCGGUUGUGAGUUUGAUCCCUG